This is a non-coding RNA of Dermacentor andersoni, 310 nucleotides long. NCBI's taxonomy places the organism in Eukaryota, Metazoa, Arthropoda, Arachnida, Ixodida, Ixodidae. The record is from RefSeq and is a predicted model, not a curated record.
CGGCGUACGAGGUACUUUCGCCCGAGAAGAAUUCUGGAAGCUGUGAACAUCAUGAAGACUGUGAAAGCGUAGUGCUCGGAUACGGAAGAAUCGAUGAAGGUUGGAAGGCAUCUCAACAGAUAGCUGUGGUACAUUCCCCCGUGCGGGCGGUACAGAUACUCCGCCAACAGCCGCUGGAGGAUGCGGCCUGCAGGGCAGCCGCCGAGUAUGCGCGGCAGGGGCAGGGGCAGCUGGCUGAGGCAGCGAACGCGGAGGCCGCCAGUUUCCACCAGCUGCUGCUGCAGCAAAAUAGGCAGGUACGUACAACUUG